AUUGCUGUGAAAAAAAAACAAGACAUUGACCUAUUGAACAUAGUGUAUUAUUUUUCCUUUUAUGCAAUCUUGGCAUAUUCUUCAAUUCAAAAUAAGAAACCCCAAAAGUAUAUAAUACUUCUUUGGAAAAAUAUGCAAAGGCCAACACAUACAAAGGACAAUGCUAGCUACAGAAAUGCGUCAAAGACUAAUAAUAAUUGACAAAAAUCCAGUAUUUUAACAAUAAUUAAUACCAGGUAAAUUGAUACAUCCUAUUACAGUAUGAAAUUCUGCCAUUUAAUUUCAAGUAAGAACCCUUAUUUCCAUUCUAGUACCUGCUGUCUUAUGCAUGUUUAACACAACAACAACAAUAAUAUAAGUAGUUAGCAUAUAUUAAAGCAUUAACGAACACCAAGCAUUGUUAAAUAUAUUACAUGUAUUUUUGCUUAAUUUUCACAACAUUACUAAUGGUUAAAUAUUAUUACCACAUUUUGUAGGGCAAAAAACUGAGGCUUAGAAACAUUGAAAAAAACUUGCUCAACGUUGCAAAACAAGAAAUUUGUGACACUGGAAUUGACAUCUACAAGGGACUGAUGUAACUAAUUGCUGGAUACAUGUCCCUCAAAGACACAGAAACAGAUCUUGUAUUCUAGUGGAUCUCCGGCACCCAGUGAGGGCCUGAAACAGAGUACAUGUCCAACAAAUAAUUAUUGAAGUAAAGAUUGACAUUUCAGGAGCAGAGAUUAAUAUUCAAAAACAAAGAUGAGAAUUUUGGCAGAAAAGUCAAAAUGAGGUAAAAGUACAUUUCCACCUUAACUUUUUUUAAUUUGCUUAGCUGACAUAAGGAAGAGUUUAUAAUUUGUUUGUUUUUUUUAAUUUUAUUAUUAUUAUACUUUUAAGUUUUAGGGUACAUGUGCACAAUGUGCAGGUUUGUUACACAUGUAUACAUGUGCCAUGCUGGUGUGCUGCACCCAUUAACUCCUCAUUUAGCAUUAGGUAUAUCUCCUAAUGCUAUCCCUCCCCCCUCCCCCCACCCCACAACAGUCCCCAGAGUGUGAUGUUCCCCUUCCUGUGUCCAUGUGUUCUCAUUGUUCAGUUCUCACCUAUGAGUGAGAAUAUGCAGUGUUUGGUUUUUUGUCCUUGCGAUAGUUUACUGAGAAUGAUGAUUUCCAAUUUCAUCCAUGUCCCUACAAAGGACAUGAACUCAUCAUUUUUAUGGCUG
This 1201-nucleotide long non-coding RNA is filed under the name Homo sapiens (human). RNAcentral's name for it is "HSALNT0270924". Lineage: Eukaryota; Metazoa; Chordata; Mammalia; Primates; Hominidae. The record is from RNAcentral.